RNAcentral lists this unclassified non-coding RNA (17 nucleotides) under Mus musculus (house mouse). RNAcentral's name for it is "oocyte_clustered_small_RNA5367". The record is from RNAcentral. Lineage: Eukaryota; Metazoa; Chordata; Mammalia; Rodentia; Muridae.
AUUUAGCUGCCUUUACU